RNAcentral lists this ribosomal RNA (421 nucleotides) under uncultured bacterium. RNAcentral describes it as "bacterial SSU rRNA". It matches the Rfam family "Bacterial small subunit ribosomal RNA", at positions 356 to 774 of the family's 1533-position model. The record is from RNAcentral.
AAGGAAUAUUGGACAAUGGAGGCAACUCUGAUCCAGCCAUGCCGCGUGAAGGAAUAAGGCCCUAUGGGUUGUAAACUUCUUUUAGACGGGACAAAACCCCUUUACGUGUAAAGGGUUGAUGGUACUGUCAGAAUAAGCAUCGGCUAACUUCGUGCCAGCAGCCGCGGUAAUACGAAGGAUGCAAGCGUUAUCCGGAAUUAUUGGGUUUAAAGGGUGCGUAGGCGGACUAAUAAGUCAGUGGUGAAAGCCUGCAGCUUAACUGCAGAAUUGCCAUUGAUACUGUUAGUCUUGAGUACAGUUGAGGUAGGCGGAAUGUGUCAUGUAGCGGUGAAAUGCUUAUAUAUGACACAGAACACCGAUUGCGAAGGCAGCUUGCUAAGCUGUAACUGACGCUGAGGCACGAAAGCGUGGGGAGCAAACA